GGUGGUGGCAUUGGACAACUUACCGGUAACGCUCGUAAUGUUGUACCCGUUUACAGACCUGUGAUAUUGGCAAAAUAUGAUCAUAAUAAUGAUGCAGUUUUGACGUCUAGGCCCUAUGCAUUAAAAUAAGCAAUGAAUCAAAUUAUGUCUUCAGUAUUUUGCAUUUUACUACUAGGCCUAGCUACCACAGUCGUGGUUGAGGUGAUUUCGGAAGAUAAAUCAGAGCCUGGAAAAAGAGGAAGUACCAAGACUAGUAAAAAAGAAAAUGCCGAAGCCGACAAAGCCCUGGAGAUUUAUCAAAAAUUGUUUUUACAAAAACGAGCGCAGCAUGUCCAGGCAGUAGAAGAAAUGUUAGCAUCAUAUGACUACCAAAAAAA
Anneissia japonica is the source of this 377-nucleotide long non-coding RNA. RefSeq lists it as uncharacterized. The record is from RefSeq and is a predicted model, not a curated record. Lineage: Eukaryota; Metazoa; Echinodermata; Crinoidea; Comatulida; Comatulidae. The transcript is spliced from 2 exons.